ACACUUUUCUACCGUCAUCGGCAUACAAAUCAAACCACGACCAUGUGUUGCCAUAAAGUUGAUCGCCUCUGGCGUCACUUUUUCAGCGGCCAUAAU
This 96-nucleotide non-coding RNA is filed under the name uncultured Colwellia sp. RNAcentral also lists the same sequence under 1 other name. Lineage: Bacteria; Pseudomonadati; Pseudomonadota; Gammaproteobacteria; Alteromonadales; Colwelliaceae. The record is from RNAcentral.